GACGAAGGGGGCUAGCGUUGCUCGGAAUGACUGGGCGUAAAGGGCGCGUAGGCGGAUGGCACAGUCAGAUGUGAAAUUCCCGGGCUUAACCUGGGGGCUGCAUUUGAUACGUGUUGUCUUGAGUUCGGAAGAGGGUCGUGGAAUUCCCAGUGUAGAGGUGAAAUUCGUAGAUAUUGGGAAGAACACCGGUGGCGAAGGCGGCUCACUGGCUCGUAACUGACGCUCAGGCGCGACAGCGUGGGGAUCAAACAGG
RNAcentral lists this ribosomal RNA (253 nucleotides) under uncultured bacterium. RNAcentral's name for it is "partial 16S ribosomal RNA". It matches the Rfam family "Bacterial small subunit ribosomal RNA", at positions 524 to 776 of the family's 1533-position model. The record is from RNAcentral.